RNAcentral lists this ribosomal RNA (305 nucleotides) under uncultured bacterium. Its description in RNAcentral is "bacterial SSU rRNA". It matches the Rfam family "Bacterial small subunit ribosomal RNA", at positions 496 to 798 of the family's 1533-position model. The record is from RNAcentral.
AGUCCCUACGGGAGGCAGCAGCCGCGGUAAUACGUAGGGGGCAAGCGUUAUCCGGAUUCACUGGGCGUAAAGGGAGCGCAGGCGGCAUGGCAAGUCUGAUGUGAAAACCCGGGGCCCAACCCCGGGAGUGCAUUGGAAACUGCCAGGCUGGAGUGUCGGAGGGGUAAGCGGAAUUCCUAGUGUAGCGGUGAAAUGCGUAGAUAUUAGGAGGAACACCAGUGGCGAAGGCGGCUUACUGGACGACUACUGACGCUGAGGCUCGAAAGCGUGGGGAGCAAACAGGAUUAGAUACCCGGGUAGUCCAG